CUGAAAAAUACCGCAUUGAUCCUUCACGUUGAUUUUGUUGGUGAGACUGUUGCACCACAUUUAUUUGAGGUCCCUGGCAAUCUGAAGCUAGUGACAUGUCAGACCCCUGUGUCUCCUCUGCGUACACAGUUGAUGAUUGGCCAUAGGAGACUCAUUUUCCGUACUUGCUUCAGCCUGCUGGAAGGAGAGGAUCUUCUGGUGGAAACACUGAUCAGCAAACUGUGUCUAUUCCAUGGCUGGAGAGUGAAGCUUUUAAAACAGAAAAUCAGCAAGAAAGCCCUCUGUGUCCCGCUUAAAAGGACAAAGCGAUGCUGAGGCCUCAGCUCCACCAGAGCAGCCAACGCUGGCCAUAGCCUUGGCAGCUGGGGAUUGGGAGCUCUGCUGCAGCCUCUGCGAGCCCAGGAGACCUGAGAGAAACGUGGGCUCUUCCUCAGGAAAGCAGGAGCUGCCACACGCCUCGAAGCUUGUAAAUCCCUUCCAUGGCUGUUCUGAGUUACCUUCGUGCAGUUUAGCUCAUCUGCUUCCAAACUGGAUCAAGGUAAGCCUUAUAAUGCCUACACAGACAGGAGCAGACAACCAUAUACUUGCACAGCGUG
This 596-nucleotide long non-coding RNA is filed under the name Struthio camelus australis. RNAcentral describes it as "lncRNA (ENSSCUG00000001702.1)". The record is from RNAcentral. Lineage: Eukaryota; Metazoa; Chordata; Aves; Struthioniformes; Struthionidae.